GAUGAACGCUGGCGGCGUGCCUAAUACAUGCAAGUCGAGCGAACAGAUGAGAAGCUUGCUUCUCUGAUGUUAGCGGCGGACGGGUGAGUAACACGUGGGUAACCUACCUAUAAGACUGGGAUAACUCCGGGAAACCGGGGCUAAUACCGGAUAAUAUUUUGAACCGCAUGGUUCAAUAGUGAAAGACGGUUUCGGCUGUCACUUAUAGAUGGACCCGCGCCGUAUUAGCUAGUGGGUAAGGUAACGGCUUACCAAGGCGACGAUACGUAGCCGACCUGAGAGGGUGAUCGGCCACACUGGAACUGAGACACGGUCCAGACUCCUACGGGAGGCAGCAGUAGGGAAUCUUCCGCAAUGGGCGAAAGCCUGACGGAGCAACGCCGCGUGAGUGAUGAAGGUCUUCGGAUCGUAAAACUCUGUUGUUAGGGAAGAAUAAAUUUGUUAGUAACUGAACAAGUCUUGACGGUACCUAACCAGAAAGCCACGGCUAACUACGUGCCAGCAGCCGCCGUAA
RNAcentral lists this ribosomal RNA (514 nucleotides) under uncultured bacterium. RNAcentral's name for it is "partial 16S ribosomal RNA". It matches the Rfam family "Bacterial small subunit ribosomal RNA", at positions 28 to 523 of the family's 1533-position model. The record is from RNAcentral.